RNAcentral lists this ribosomal RNA (429 nucleotides) under Chloroflexota bacterium. RNAcentral's name for it is "Chloroflexi bacterium partial 16S ribosomal RNA". It matches the Rfam family "Bacterial small subunit ribosomal RNA", at positions 355 to 776 of the family's 1533-position model. The record is from RNAcentral. Lineage: Bacteria; Bacillati; Chloroflexota.
UGGGGAAUAUUGCACAAUGGGCGCAAUCCUGAUGCAGCCAUGCCGCGUGUAUGACGAAGGCCUUCGGGUUGUAAAGUACUUUCAGCGGGGAGGAAGGGAGUAAAGUUAAUACCUUUGCUCAUUGACGUUACCCGCAGAAGAAGCACCGGCUACCUCCGUGCCAGCAGCCGCGGUAAUACGGAGGGUGCAAGCGUUAAUCGGAAUUACUGGGCGUAAAGCGCACGCAGGCGGUUUGUUAAGUCAGAUGUGAAAUCCCCGGGCUCAACCUGGGAACUGCAUCUGAUACUGGCAAGCUUGAGUCUCGUAGAGGGGGGUAGAAUUCCAGGUGUAGCGGUGAAAUGCGUAGAGAUCUGGAGGAAUACCGGUGGCGAAGGCGGCCCCCUGGACGAAGACUGACGCUCAGGUGCGAAAGCGUGGGGAGCAAACAGG